RNAcentral lists this long non-coding RNA (261 nucleotides) under Lathyrus oleraceus (garden pea). Its description in RNAcentral is "Pisum sativum (pea) long non-coding RNA (PSAT_LNC040643)". The record is from RNAcentral. Lineage: Eukaryota; Viridiplantae; Streptophyta; Magnoliopsida; Fabales; Fabaceae.
AGGAAGACUGCCCUGCUGGAGAGGCAAAAGUUGAAGUCUUCAGUGAACGCUCUGCUAGGGGAGCUGCCCCACAAUAAUGUCCAAAACAGCAAACUUGCUGGGGAUGCCCCACGGUAGGGCUCAAGCAGCACUCUACUGGGGAUGCCCCACCAUAGAGCUAACAGGGAUUUGGAGGAAGAAUCUGUACUGCCGGGAACAUGAAGAUGAACAACUUCAAACAACACUGCAUUGGGCAACUUCACUGAGGAGACACCAUACGAG